GUGCACUUAGCUCAGUGGUUAGAGCAUCCUUCUAGAGGGGGGAAAAAAUUCAUGGGUUUGAGUCCCAUAGUGCACA
Molecule: transfer RNA, 76 nt
Filed under: Endocronartium harknessii PhW48OC
Lineage: Eukaryota; Fungi; Basidiomycota; Pucciniomycetes; Pucciniales; Coleosporiaceae
Description: tRNA-Ser (AGA) (tRNA-Ser-AGA-4-1)
Rfam family: tRNA
About the family: Transfer RNA (tRNA) molecules are approximately 80 nucleotides in length. Their secondary structure includes four short double-helical elements and three loops (D, anti-codon, and T loops).
Source: RNAcentral